AUACGGAGGAUCCGAGCGUUAUCCGGAUUUAUUGGGUUUAAAGGGUGCGCGGGCGGGAGAUUAAGUCGGCGGUGAAAUUUUGCAGCUCAACUGUAAAAGUGCCUUCGAAACUGGUUUCCUUGAGUGUAGAUGAAGUAGGCGGAAUUUGUGGUGUAGCGGUGAAAUGCAUAGAUAUCACGAGGAACUCCGAUUGCGCAGGCAGCUUACUAAACUACGACUGACGCUCAGGCACGAAGGCGUGGGGAUCAAACAGGAUUAGAUACCCUGGUAGUCCACGCAGUAAACGAUGAUUACUAGCUGUUUGCGAUACAAUGUAAGCGGCUGAGCGAAAGCGUUAAGUAAUCCACCUGGGGAGUACGUUCGCAAGAAUGAAACUCAAAGGAAUUGACGGGG
RNAcentral lists this ribosomal RNA (393 nucleotides) under uncultured bacterium. Its description in RNAcentral is "partial 16S ribosomal RNA". It matches the Rfam family "Bacterial small subunit ribosomal RNA", at positions 523 to 918 of the family's 1533-position model. The record is from RNAcentral.